CCUACGGGUGGCUGCAGUGGGGAAUAUUGGACAAUGGGGGCAACCCUGAUCCUGCCAUGCCGCGUGUGUGAAGAAGGCCCUCGGGUUGUAAAGCACUUUCAGUGAGGAAGAACGCCUGGUGGUUAAUACCCAUCAGGAAAGACAUCACUCACAGAAGAAGCACCGGCUAACUCCGUGCCAGCAGCCGCGGUAAUACGGAGGGUGCGAGCGUUAAUCGGAAUUACUGGGCGUAAAGCGCGCGUAGGUGGCUUGAUAAGCCGGUUGUGAAAGCCCCGGGCUCAACCUGGGAACGGCAUCCGGAACUGUCAAGCUAGAGUGCAGGAGAGGAAGGUAGAAUUCCCGGUGUAGCGGUGAAAUGCGUAGAGAUCGGGAGGAAUACCAGUGGCGAAGGCGGCCUUCUGGACUGACACUGACACUGAGGUGCGAAAGCGUGGGUAGCAAACAGGAUUAGAUACCCGUGUAGUC
Molecule: ribosomal RNA, 465 nt
Filed under: Vreelandella stevensii
Lineage: Bacteria; Pseudomonadati; Pseudomonadota; Gammaproteobacteria; Oceanospirillales; Halomonadaceae
Description: partial 16S ribosomal RNA
Rfam family: Bacterial small subunit ribosomal RNA
Source: RNAcentral